GUGGCAGGGAGUGGGAGGGUGAUUAACAGGGGAAGAAUUAGGAAAGAGGACACGCAAGACCACAGUAAGAGAUGGAAAUAAGAGAAUAUUCCUGAUUUCCACUGGAUGACUUUGACUGGUAUGAUUUCAUUCUCUGAAAGUGUUAACCAGGGUGCAGCAUGGCCAGAAACCAUUCCGAGCCUCAUGAAGUGGGCAAGUCAGGUUUGGUCAUUUUUGUUCUACUGGCUUUGAAGAAGCAAGCUGCUAUGAUGUAAACUGACUAUGGAGAAGGCCACGUGACAGGGAAUUGGGUGUAGACUCUAGGAACUGAGGUCUUAAUCCUACAACUGCAAGGGGAUUAAAGUCUACCAACAACCACCUGGGCUUGGAAGAGGACCGCUGAUCUCCAGAUGAGAACGGAGCCUGACCAACACCUUGAGUGCCACCUUGUGAGACUCUGAGCAAAGACCCAGCUAAGCCACACUUAGACUCUUGACGUACAGAAAAUGCAGAAGAGGAGAAGGAAGAGGAGAGGUUGUUCCUCUCAGGGGUGGCAGAUGUGGAAGAAAAUUCAUGUGUAAUGUCAUUGCAUGUACACAGUUUAAGACAGAGCAUCUGGUGAUUCUCGGACCUUCAAGCAAGUGUCACAUCUCAGGUGAACCUUGGCAGUUUUAAGAUGAACAAAGUAAUCAAAGCAAAAAUGUCAAAUAAUAAUAAUAAUAAUGAUAUCAGAAGAAUGUCCAGUGCCAUGGUUGGAUUCCCAGAAGGCAGCAUCUGCUCAUGCCAUCAACAACAUGGUGCCAUUUCAGUCAUCCUCUUUUUGUCCCAAAGACAGAAAAAAAAUAGAAAAAAGAAAGAGAAAAAGACACCACGAACCGUCUAUCCUCCUGGUAAUACAAAUACACCUGUAAAUAAACAUGUCAAUGUCUACACACAACGCACAUUUAUGCAGAAUCCAUCCUCUCGGUGCUUCCGUAGUUAUCAAGUAAAAGUCCUUCUAAGCCUAAGAAAUGAUAGUAUUAAUUCAGUCUUGGGGUGUGGGGGGAAAGGUGGACUAUCAUCAAAUAAAAAAGGCGAGGCUAAUUAAGUGACAUCCACUGGGGACUGGGAAAAGAAGAGACUUCUUGUGGGAAAGUAAUUAUAUCUUCAUUGACCCUCCUGGGGUACCCCCAGUGGCAGGGACUCUGCCUCGCGGUGUGACAUCUCCUUUCGGGAUGAGCAGCCAGUCACCUCGAGAAGCCCCCUUCUCCAUGGAUGCGUUUUCUAAUCAUUUCACAUGAUUGAGCCUCCAGCAAGUGAUGCUUUACUUAAUUCCUUUCCGCCUGUAGGGUGUGAGGUUUGGAGGGCCUCUCGUCAAAACUUUGGAGGGCUCUGUCAGUUUGAAAAGAACAUGACCUUUAAAUUGUAUCAGUAUGUUUGCUGGUGCAUAAGGGAGAGGAAAAGGUUCGUCCUGAUGGAAAACCACUCAGAAGCCAAGGAGUAAUUCAGAGGGAACCAGCCCAGGAAGAAUCAAGAAAGCUGCCCACAGUGUCAUUCUUCAGCUGAGAAAAGAGAGAGUUGACUAACUCCUCGGACUGGAGUGAGGACUCACAGAGGUGGUAGGACACUAACCAUCUAUGUCUCCAUUUCCUGGGUUGUAACACUGAGGUAGAACAUCUCACUGUCCCAUGGAGGAUUAUGUUAUUUUUGGAGAUUAAUAAUUUUGGAGGAAGAAAGGUGGCUUCCUGAAAAGGAAGUCACAUGAAGAAGCAACUUACACGGUGGUCUCUUUAAAUAAACAUAUUGUGACUAGACAA
Homo sapiens (human) is the source of this 1775-nucleotide long non-coding RNA. Ensembl annotates it as long intergenic non-protein coding RNA 1837. The record is from Ensembl. NCBI's taxonomy places the organism in Eukaryota, Metazoa, Chordata, Mammalia, Primates, Hominidae.